This 643-nucleotide ribosomal RNA is filed under the name uncultured bacterium. RNAcentral describes it as "bacterial SSU rRNA". It matches the Rfam family "Bacterial small subunit ribosomal RNA", at positions 202 to 842 of the family's 1533-position model. The record is from RNAcentral.
CAAAGGAGUGAUCCGGCAGAGGAUGGACAUGCGGCGCAUUAGCUAGUCGGCGGGGUAACGGCCCACCGAGGCUACGAUGCGUAGGGGUUCUGAGAGGAAGGUCCCCCACACUGGUACUGAGACACGGACCAGACUCCUACGGGAGGCAGCAGUGAGGAAUAUUGGUCAAUGGGCGGAAGCCUGAACCAGCCAAGUCGCGUGAGGGAAGACGGUCCUAUGGAUUGUAAACCUCUUUUGCAGGGGAGCAAGGCGCGGUACGUGUACCGCGAAGGAGAGUACCCUGAGAAAAAGCAUCGGCUAACUCCGUGCCAGCAGCCGCGGUAAUACGGAGGAUGCGAGCGUUAUCCGGAUUUAUUGGGUUUAAAGGGUGCGCAGGCGGACUGUUAAGUCAGCGGUAAAAUGUCGGUGCCCAACACCGGCCGGCCGUUGAAACUGGCAGCCUUGAGUGAGCGAGAAGUAUGCGGAAUGCGUGGUGUAGCGGUGAAAUGCAUAGAUAUCACGCAGAACUCCGAUUGCGAAGGCAGCAUACCGGCGCUCAACUGACGCUCAGGCACGAAAGCGUGGGUAUCGAACAGGCUUAGAUACCCUGGUAGUCCACGCAGUAAACGAUGAAUGCUCACUGUCCGGGCCGUUUAAGGCCUGG